RNAcentral lists this long non-coding RNA (5178 nucleotides) under Manihot esculenta (cassava). RNAcentral describes it as "long non-coding RNA (MESC_LNC011694)". The record is from RNAcentral. Lineage: Eukaryota; Viridiplantae; Streptophyta; Magnoliopsida; Malpighiales; Euphorbiaceae.
AUGAUUGUAAAUCAAUCAGUGAUCCUCUGUCAUGAUUGUAAAUCAAUCAAUGAUCAAAUCUUACCAUAUUUAGCAUAGCAUGAUUCUAGGACAUAAUUGAGGGCACAAUCAAAGAUCUAAUUGUUCAUAUUAUGUACUAUAUAAACUCUGUAACUUACUACACAAGAGGAAAGAAAAUAAAAGCAGUUUUCUCCCUAUAAUCUCAAGAUGGUAUCAGGGCAGGUUUCGGCCUAAAAUUAUAGCCGUCUUGCAAUCAUCCGUUACCAGAUACCUUUCCCGACCUUCUCUCACUAAACCAACCUACCAGAUACCUUUUCCAACUUCUUUCUCUCACUGAAACAACAAUGGCCGGCCUCCCCAGCCCGGCUGACCAAUCCCAGGCAAUAAUUGAUCCAAUAGCAGACCUGUCACAAAAACUAUUCCAGUUAAUUUAGAAUAGCCAAAAUGGAAAUCAGAAAUCAGCAAACCAAUUCACUCUUGAUUCAGCACAGCCACCGUCCGACAUAAAAUUGAAUGAUUUCAAUUAUGUUGUUUGGGCAAAGAUGAUGGAGAUGUUUAUCACAGGGCGAGGGAAAUCAAACCAUCUGACUGGGACUCCCUCCCCUCCGAUAGAAACAGACCCCGCAAUUUACCUGUGGCAAACUAAUGACAGCAUUGUCCGAGGAUGGUUAAUCCAGACGGUAGAACAGAAGCUCCGUCCAAAUUUAUUGCAGCACAAGACAAGCAAAGGACCAUGGGAUGCCCUCAAGAUCAGAUUCAAUACAGGUAGCAACAAACUUAUCAUUUAUGAGUUACAGUCUAAAGCAUACAAAUUAACACAACAAGGAAGCAAUCUGGAAGAUUUAUACAAUGAUCUUCAGGCUACGUGGGCCGAGAUCGAUGAAAGACAAUCGACCAGAAUCGAAGGAGACAACAAUAUCAUUAUCCGGAACCUGGAAAUCCAGGAUGAACGUCUGUACCUAUUUUUGGCCGGAGUACAGUCGGACCUCGAUCCAGUCUAUCGAGAAAUUCUCAACGAGGAGCCAUUGCCGACCUUGGACAAUGCCUACUCUCGGCUCCGAGGUGAGAAGUUGCGCCGUGCCAUCCACCUUCCUCUUCCAUCACCAGCGACAGCAGGUUCCGACCUCGUGGGGGCCGGUCUAUUGGCUAAAAACUGGUCAGACACAGACAAGUCAUCACUCCGGGAUGAUAAAUCAGGCUUAAAAUGCACCCAUUGCGGCGGAUCUCGACAUACCCGGGACGGAUGCUUUAAGAUCAUAGGGUAUCCAGAGUGGUGGGAGGAAAACAAGAUCCGUAAGAAGAAAGGAAAGGGACAAGGCGCAGGGAAUACGGCCGCGGUCACUAUCAGCAGCACCCAAAAGGCUGCCUGCGGCAACAACCUGAUCGGACAAACGGAGAAAAACUCGGGCAACGGACAGAGCUUAGGGGUUGCAGCGGCGCUAUAAGGAGCCGAGAAAGGAGGAGGCACGGGUGUCCCUUAUGAUCGGGAAGGAGGUAUUUUAAGGUUAGAAAGGAGGGAUAAUGACCUUUCUACCCCUGUCUUUUUAAAUAAAUCUAAAUGUGCCCAUGCUUAUUUUAAUUCUUGUAAAAUUAAAUCCCUGGUCCCAGAUGUUUUAGAUAAGUCUGUUUGUAAUCUUAAAACUGAAUCGUUAGCCCUUAAUUCUAUCGGUCAUGCUCACAAGGUACAAAAUUCUAGUGGGUGGAUAUUUGAUUCAGGAGCCACAGACACUAUGACUAAUGAUUCUUCAGAUUUUGUUGUGUCAGCCCCACCCUCAAAAUCCAAUAUUCUAAACGCUACCGGUGGCUCCUUCUUGGUCAUCGGUGGUGGUACCGUUUCUAUAACCCCCACUUUAAAUGUCUCCAAUAGCCUCUAUGUACCUUCCUUAUCUUGCAAAUUACUCUCUGUCAGUCAGAUCACCAAACAGUUAAAUUGCAGAGUACUCAUGUAUCCUCAUUUUUGUGUUUUGCAGGAUAUUCAUACGGGCACAGUACUGGGCCGUGGUACUGAGAAAGAUGGACUGUACUAUGUGGAGGAGGUCUCAAGUACUGGGUCAGCUCAUUUAGCUCAAGGGUCCCCAACCCGACAAUUAUGGCUCUAGCACCGGCGCUUCGGCCAUCUCUCAAGUGAUUAUCUUCGUACUUUGUUUCCUGAGUUUAGAUCCAUUGACAUUCCAGUUUGUACUUCAUGUGUGCUUGCUAAGAGUCAUAAGAGUACUUAUCAUAUAUCCACAAAUAAGUCUGAUACUCCCUUCUCAAUAAUACACUCUGAUGUAUGGGGGCCUACCCUGGAAACUGUCUCCCCUGAUUAUAGAUACUUUGUGACUUUUAUUGAUGACUGCACUCGUGUUACUUGGAUUUACCUGUUAAAACAAAAAUACGAAGUGGCUGAGAAAUUUUGUGAUUUUUUUCGUAUGAUUAAAACCCAGUUUCACAGGACCAUUCAAGUCCUCCGAUCUGACAAUGGGGGGGAAUUUGUCAAUAACCACCUCCAAACCUUUUUCUGGGAUAAUGGGAUCCUUCACCAAACUACUUGCCCUUAUACACCACAGCAAAAUGGGGUCGCUGAAAGGAAAAAUCAACAUAUCCUUGAGACUGCCCGAGCCCUUUUGUUUGAAGCCUAAGUUCCUCCUAAAUUUUGGUCUGAAGCAGUUGUGGUGUCCAUUUACCUCAUCAAUCGACAUCUGUCUCGCGUUCUUAAUUUCCAAUCUCCCUUGCAUACCUUGUCCUCUCAUCACACUAUCCCUUCCCAUCUCAACCUUCCACCUAAAAUUUUUGGCUGCACAGUUUAUGUUCACAUUCCUAAAACACACCGCACUAAACUUAAUCCAUGUGCUCUUAAAUGUGUUUUCUUUGGUUAUGGUGUCCAUAAAAAGGGCUAUCGGUGUUUUGACCCAAUCUCUAAACGGAUCUUCACCACCAUGGACUGCACUUUUCUUGAAGAGGAAUAUUUUUUUCCCUCGCCAACUAACAGUGAGGGGGAGACAGCGGCACAAUCACCACCACUGCCAAAUUGGCUUAGUCAGAGGGGGCCAGAACUUGGUCAUUCUUCCCUUCCUAAGUCUACACCAGAACUGGAAGACACCGGUCAUUCUUCCCUUCCUGAGUCUACACCAGCACUGGGAGACACUGACCAUCUAGUACAGUCCUCGGCCUCAACAUCACAACCAGAACCUGACACCGUAGAAUAUCCUGAGGAACACACAACUGAGGUAUGUGAAUCUGAACUUUCUCCUGUUCCUAAUAACCUCACCGUUGAACCCAUUUCCCUUGAGGUUCCUGAAACAGGCCAAUAUGUUCUACCCCCUCGGAAUAAUAGAGGAAUUCCACUCAGGAGAUAUGAUCCAGAAUUCGAGGCAGCCAGGUCCAGAUACCCUGUGGCAAACGUUACCAGAGGAGAAAGACUAUCACCUCAGUUGGUCAACCUACAGAAAAACAUUUGCUCAGAAUGGAUACCAAAGGAUGCCACAGAGGCCUAGAAGGACAAAAGAUGGGUUGAGGCAAUGGAGAUCGAGAUGGAUGCCCUAGAGAAAAACAAGACCUGGGAAAAAUGCUGGCUACCCAAGGGAAAACGACCAGUGGGAUGCAAAUGGGUGUUUACCAUAAAGUAUAAGUCAGACGGAACGGUGGACAGAUAUAAAGCUAGACUUGUAGCAAAAGGAUAUACUCAGACUUAUGGAGUUGACUAUUCUGAAACAUUCUCUCCAGUAGCAAAAAUUGAUACAAUACGGGUCCUAUUCUCUCUAGCUGCAAACCUAGACUGGCCACUUCACCAAUUUGAUGUGAAAAAAUACUUUCUUGCAUGGUGAUCUAGAAGAGGAAGUAUACAUGGAUGCUCCACCAGGGUUCAUGAGUGGAUAUAGAAGGGGAGAAGUGUGUCGAUUGAGGCGAGCCUUGUAUGGGUUGAAACAGUCACCCAGAGCAUGGUUUGGGAGAUUUACUCAAGCAAUGAAGAAAAAUGGAUAUCGACAGAGUAACUCCGAUCACACUCUAUUCUUAAAGAGGCAAGGAAGGAAGAUCACAUGUUUGAUUAUAUACGUGGAUGACAUUAUUAUAACUGGAGACGAUGUGGACGAAAUUAAACAACUGAGGGACAACUUAUUCCAAGAAUUUGAGAUGAAAGAUCUGGGGAUGCUAAAAUAUUUUCUUGGAAUCGAAGUUCUCAAGUCAGACCAGGGAAUUUUGAUAUUACAAAGAAAGUACAUUCUUGAUCUGUUAACUAAAACAGAAAUGAUAGAUUGCAAACCAGUCGAUACUUCGGUAAUGGUCAAUCACGAGUUGAGCAAGGACUCAAAACAAGGACCCACAGACAGGGGGAGGUACCAGAGACUGGUAGGAAAACUGAUUUAUUUAUCACACACCAGACCAGACGUGGCAUAUGCUGUGACUUUGGUAAGUCAGUUCAUGCAUGAUCCAAAACAAGACCAUAUGGAGGCAGCAUUGAGAAUCGUUCGAUAUCUGAAAGGAACAGCUAGGAUGGGCAUGUUGUUCAAAAAGAAUGGUCUUUUCAGUAUCAGUGGAUAUACGGACGCAAGUUGGGCAGGAGAUCUCUCCGACAGACGAUCUACUUCAGGAUACUUUACCUUUGUCGGAGGAAAUUUGGUAACGUGGAAAAGUAAGAAACAAAAGGUGGUGGCACUGUCAAGUGCUGAAGCAGAAUUCAGGGGAAUAGCAAAAGGACUGGAAGAACUCCUAUGGAUCAGAAAGUUGAUGUUUGAGCUUGGAUUCCCAUCAAAGGAUGCAGCUGAACUCCGUUGUGACAACAAGGCGGCAAUAAGCAUUUCUGAAAAUCCAGUUCAGCAUGAUCGAACAAAACAUGUUGAAAUAGAUCGACAUUUCAUCAAAGAAAAGUUGGACAGUGGUCUGAUACCUUUACCGUUUGUUCGAUCAGAGGAUCAAUGGGCGGACAUCCUAACCAAAGCAGUAGCUGGACGAAUAUUCCAUGAGGUUUUGGGCAAGUUGGGUAUGCUAGAUCCACAUGAACCAACUUGAGGGGGAGUGUUGGAAAGAAUCCUCUGCCAUGAUUGUAAAUCAAUCAGUGAUCCUCUGUCAUGAUUGUAAAUCAAUCAGUGAUCAAAUCUUACCAUGUUUAUCAUAGCAUGAUUCUAGGACAUAAUUGAGGGCACAAUCAAAAGUCUAAUUGUUCAUAUUAUGUACUAUAUAAACUCUGUAACUUACUAC